Molecule: transfer RNA, 76 nt
Filed under: Saccharomyces cerevisiae Vin13
Lineage: Eukaryota; Fungi; Ascomycota; Saccharomycetes; Saccharomycetales; Saccharomycetaceae
Also listed under: 2 other names
Description: tRNA-Tyr (GTA) (tRNA-Tyr-GTA-2-1, tRNA-Tyr-GTA-2-2)
Rfam family: tRNA
About the family: Transfer RNA (tRNA) molecules are approximately 80 nucleotides in length. Their secondary structure includes four short double-helical elements and three loops (D, anti-codon, and T loops).
Source: RNAcentral
CUCUCGGUAGCCAAGUUGGUUUAAGGCGCAAGACUGUAAAUCUUGAGAUCGGGCGUUCGACUCGCCCCCCGGGAGA